This 460-nucleotide ribosomal RNA is filed under the name uncultured bacterium. Its description in RNAcentral is "bacterial SSU rRNA". It matches the Rfam family "Bacterial small subunit ribosomal RNA", at positions 30 to 507 of the family's 1533-position model. The record is from RNAcentral.
AUUGAACGCUGGCGGAAUGCUUUACACAUGCAAGUCGAACGGCAGCACGGACUUCGGUCUGGUGGCGAGUGGCGAACGGGUGAGUAAUAUAUCGGAACGUGCCCAGUCGUGGGGGAUAACGUAGUGAAAAUUACGCUAAUACCGCAUACGAUCUAAGGAUGAAAGCGGGGGAUCGCAAGACCUCGCGCGAUUGGAGCGGCCGAUGUCAGAUUAGCUAGUUGGUGGGGUAAAGGCCCACCAAGGCGACGAUCUGUAGCUGGUCUGAGAGGACGACCAGCCACACUGGGACUGAGACACGGCCCAGACUCCUACGGGAGGCAGCAGGUGGGGAAUAUUGCACAAUGGACGAAAGUCUGAUGCAGCAACGCCGCGUGGAGGAUGACACAUUUCGGUGCGUAAACUCCUUUUAUAUGAGAAGAUAAUGACGGUAUUAUAUGAAUAAGCACCGGCUAACUCCGUG